RNAcentral lists this ribosomal RNA (526 nucleotides) under uncultured bacterium. Its description in RNAcentral is "bacterial SSU rRNA". It matches the Rfam family "Bacterial small subunit ribosomal RNA", at positions 15 to 518 of the family's 1533-position model. The record is from RNAcentral.
GAUUAUGGCUCAGGACGAACGCUGGCGGCGUGCCUAACACAUGCAAGUCGAACGGGGAUUUGUUUCGGCAGAAUCCUAGUGGCGAACGGGUGAGUAACGCGUAGGCAACCUGCCCUCCGGCCGGGGACAACACUCCGAAAGGGGUGCUAAUACCGGAUACGAAGUCUGUGCCGCAUGGUACGGAUUUGAAAGAUGGCCUCUGUUUACAAGCUAUCGCCGGGGGAUGGGCCUGCGUCCGAUUAGCUGGUUGGUGGGGUAACGGCCUACCAAGGCGACGAUCGGUAGCCGGUCUGAGAGGAUGAACGGCCACAUUGGGACUGAGACACGGCCCAGACUCCUACGGGAGGCAGCAGUGGGGAAUCUUCCGCAAUGGGCGCAAGCCUGACGGAGCAACGCCGCCGUGAGUGAGGAAGUUCUUCGGAACGUAAAGCUCUGUUGUUCCUGACGAACCUCCCUUCUAUCAACAACGGAAGGGACUGACGGUAGGGAACGAGGAAGCCACGGCUAACUACGUGCCAGCCGCCGC